Molecule: ribosomal RNA, 462 nt
Filed under: uncultured bacterium
Lineage: Bacteria
Description: SSU rRNA
Rfam family: Bacterial small subunit ribosomal RNA
Source: RNAcentral
AGGAUUAACGCUGGCGGCGUGCCUAACACAUGCAAGUCGAACGAGGUAGCAAUACCUAGUGGCAGACGGGUGAGUAACGCGUGGUCAACCUACCGUUGAGUGGGGGAUAACUAGCCGAAAGGUUAGCUAAUACCGCAUACGAGUCUCGGGGGCAUCCCUGGGCCUUAAAAGGAGCAAUCCGCUCGAUGACGGGACCGCGUCCCAUUAGCUAGAUGGUGGGGUAAUGGCCUACCAUGGCUCCGAUGGGUAGCUGGUUUGAGAGAGCGACCAGCCACACUGGGACUGAGAAACGGCCCAGACUCCUACGGGAGGCAGCAGUGAGGAAUUUUCCGCAAUGGGCGAAAGCCUGACGGAGCGACGCCGCGUGUGGGAAGAAGGCCUUCGGGUCGUAAACCACUGUCGAAGGGGACGAUAAUGACGGUACCCUUGGAGGAGCCCGGCUAACUACGCGCCAGCAGCCGC